This is a long non-coding RNA of Gasterosteus aculeatus aculeatus (three-spined stickleback), 13171 nucleotides long. The record is from Ensembl. NCBI's taxonomy places the organism in Eukaryota, Metazoa, Chordata, Actinopteri, Perciformes, Gasterosteidae.
UUUGCGAUUGUGAAGACUUCCCUGGUAUGUGAACGGAUCUACAUAUGCAUCGGGCUUCUACAAUGAGCACCCGAGCCCCGCAGCACUAUGCAGAGACAGCGGGGAGGUAGACGCGAGGAGACAGGCAUCCAAAGGAGGCCAUCUCACUGCUAUGUUUGCUGAUGGUGGUGUGCACACUAGCACGUAACAUUGCAGCGCUAGGUGGAGGCCUCGUUAUGGAGCGGUUUAAAAUACACAAACGCCUCUUGUCUCGGUGCCUGCUGCUCAAUCUAAAAAUUUGACUGAGAUAUUCCACUCCUCAGAGCGCAUUGACAUGCAGGUGUUAGAAUGUUCUGAAUUGCUGGAGCUACUGGAUGUACAGUAAUCACCCUCUUUGUUGUAUUUAUAUUGUAGCGUGCCUUAAGUUCAUAAAUGUAUAUGGCUCUGAUUAAUGUUACUGUUACGUAGGCCAGGGUUGGGGUACCGCCCCUUCCGGGGAAUGUGUGUAGUUUUCGGGGAGCACAGGAAGGGGAAGUUAAGUUCUGACUAGGUUGAUGACCGGGUGUGUGGAAUGGCGUGGCUGUGGCCGACAACAGGCAACAGGUAAGAAAACUUAAGUCUGAUUCUGUUAACGUAAUCGACCGCUCAGGCGUGGGCGGACUACUGUUUGGUGGACGCUUUUUCUGGUGGAGAUGGAGCGUUCUUUUGGCAGAGGUUUUUGUGUCAAGAAGGAGGAGGAGGACAACGAGUACGGAUAUCCUCGUCCUGUUCAAGUGCUGGAAGGACAGCGUUUUUCCGUGGACGGUCUAGGAAGGGGGAUGAUACGUGAGUUACAGCCACCAACAUCCGCUGGGGGUCCUGGCUUAGCGACGGCUAGCGCUGAAGCUAGCUACACGGCGCGCGGAAAAUUGCCGCCCGGGAACGUGCAUGGACAAAACGUAAACAAAGAUGACAGGGACAGCGAGUGCCGGUGAGCAUAAAAACGGCGAAAUAUGUGGGGAAGUCUGACCGGGAGGCUUUUCAUGCUCAGUUUGAGCUUUUAGCUCGUGCAAACACCUGGUCAGAUGAACAGAAAGCCCUCCAGCUCGCCCUUUGUUUGACGGAUGAUGCACUGUCUUGCCUGCUGCUUUUGGACCCGAGUGAGAGGGGUAAUUAUGGAGCCCUGGCUGGUGCUCUAGGGCGCCGGUUUGGACAAUGUUUUCGUUCGGAGCUGCUGCGCUCGGAGCUGCAUGGACGUCAGAGGCGAACUGGGGAAUCCCUGCGCACGUUGGCAAACGACAUCGAAGGACUGACACGACGAGCAUACGCGCAUAUGCCUACGCCAGUGCAAACAGAGUUUGCACAUGAUCAGUUCGUCAGGGCUCUCUCUCCAUCUGAUCUGCGAGCUCACACUCAGUCCUCAGUACUCAGUACUCAGCACAACAACAGCCGCGCCUCUGCUGGGGGUGUGGCCAAGCUGGACACCUGGUGAGGGAUUGCCCAGCCUCGACUAAAGCUCUGGGAAACGGCAAGGGGACGCAGUAGACGGGACGCUGCGUGCCCCCACCCUUAAGUCCCGUUCGUCACUGGUUGUGGCCAGCAGCGCCUCUCAGUACAGCAUGGGCCAGGGGCAGAAUGUGGCUGUGGUGGGAAGGACUUCCAUAUCGGACUUCUGCCAUAUUCCCAUUUGCAUCGAGGGGGUUUCAUGCACCGCCCUAGUGGACACCGGGUCAGCGGUCACAGUGGUCCGGCCGGAGGUGGUGCCAGUGGGUACACAGCUGGAGGACACAGCAGUUCAGCUCCGCACAGUAACUGGUGAGCUAGCACCAAUGAAAGGGAGAGGGCAGCUGAUAUUGACUGUGGGGGGACGGAAAAUGAGAUACACUGUGUGGGUAGCGGAAGUACAAGAUGCCUGUAUUUUAGGCUUGCACUUUUUGCGGGAGCAGGGCUGUCAGUUAGACCUGGGGAAAGCCACACUGAGCUUUAUUGAUGGGCAGGUGGUGCAUAUGAGACCGCUGGAUUCCCAGCGCGCAGCUACACACACAGCCGGACCUCACGGGUGCUGUGUGGGGGAAGGAAAGCAGACAAGGGCUGCCAUGUCGUACCUGUCGGAGCCUUGGCUAGGCCCUGAGCCAGCCUGGACUCGCCGGUCAGGCUGACCCCGUCUGCGGUGGAGGGCUGUGAGAGUCUGCAGGAGUGCGAAGCGAAAAGGAUGACAGCUCUGCGCGAGGUCUGGCAGAGAAGUGCCGGGGACUUGGAUUCUGAGCAGCAGGAGCGACUAUGGCAGCUGCUGAUAGAGUUCCGCGACUGCUUUUCAUGCGACGAGGAGGAGCUGGGACAGUCCUCUCUCGUACAGCACACAAUUGACACGGGUGAUGCGACGCCUAUACGGCAGCGCCCACGUCGCCUCCCCCUGGGCCGACAAGACGCAGCGGAGCGGGCUUUGGAGAAAAUGCAGCGAGCCGGCAUAAUAGAGCCCUCUGAGAGCCCCUGGGCAUCGCCAGUCGUGAUGGUGCCGAGGGAAAGGAGGUCAGUGGCGCUUCUGUGUGGAUUAUAGGAGGCCUAAUGACGUCACUAUUAAGGACUCCUACCCCCUUCCACGCGUGGAUGAAUGUCUGGACCUAGUAGCUGGCUCUUCCUGGUUCUCGUCCUUGGACUUGAGGAGCGGCUAUUGGCAGGUCCCCCUGGCCGAAGAGGCCCGGCCCAAGACCGCAUUCUGCACAGGAAAGGGGCUGUGGCAGUUUAAGGUGCUCUGUUUUGGACUGUGUAAUGCGCCUGCCACAUUCGAACGCUUGAUGGAGAGGGUGUUAGCUGGAGUUCCACACACGGAGUGCCUGGUGUACUUAGAUGACAUUCUGGCCCAUGGCAGCUCAUUUGAUUCAGCUAUGGCAGCACUGCGCCGAGUUAUGGAGAGGAUCAAAGGGGCUGGACUGAAGUUACAGUGUGCAGGCUGCUGUGCAGGGAGCUGACCUUUCUGGGGCACCGAAUAGGCAGCAAGGGUAUCGGCACAGUGGAGGAGAAGGUGCGUGUCAUACGUGAGUGGCCCAGCCCGACAGACCAGAGGGGACUAAAAAGUUUUUUGGGUUUAGCUUCCUAUUACAGGAAAUUCGUGCGGGGAUUUUCAGGCAUUGCGGCCCCCCUGUACAGGCUCCUGCAGAAGGACCAGCCCUUUGUGUGGGCGGAGGACUGUGAAAGCGCAUUCAACACCCUCCAAGAGGCUCUGUCAAGCGCACCCAUCCUGGCAGCCCCUGACCCCGAAGUGCCUUUUGUUCUGGACACAAGACGCUAGCGGCGAUGGAGUGGGGGCAGUCUUAUCACAGGCAGGGCCGGAAGGAGAGAGGGUUGUGGCCUACUACAGCAAAGCCCUGAAUAAAGCUGAGCGGCUUACUGUCGUCUUUGCCGCACGGCAUUUUAAGUACUACUUGUGUGGCCGCCCCUUCACUGUACGCACUGAUCAUGCCUCACUGCAGUGGCUGAUAUUCCGAGAGCCUGAGGGACAGCUGGCUCGUUGCAGUGAAGUGAAGUGAAGUAGACUGCCGGUAUUGUGGCCGCAGAGAGGUCACAGAACAGCAGCUGGUUCUGGGGCCAAACAAGCGGGACAGAGAGGAGUGUGAAGAGACUGUCAGGGCUUGUAGAGAGCUGCUGGUGGUAGACAAUGCUAUCUGGGCCGCGGAACAGCAACAAGACCCGGACGUGCAGCCAGUGAUGCUGUGGGUUGAGGCGCGGCAGCGGCCGCCCUGGGAGGAGGUGGCCGCUCUCUCCCCAUGGACAAAAGGGCUGUGGGCUAAAUUUAAUUCUUUGCAGCUGGCUGAUGGGGUCCUUCAGCGGGCAUGGUUAGAACCAGCGUCGGGAGAGAAAAAGUGGCAGACGGUGGUACCCAGAGGGAUGCAGGGGGCUGUUCUCGAAGCCAUGCAUGGCUCUGCAGGCUCCGGUCACUUUGGGGUGACCAAAACACUCCGGCGGGUCCGUCAGGCCUUCUAUUGGGGGCGGCUUAAAGACUUUGUCCUCGGGGACGAGGACUUAAGAAGGGGGGGGGUAAUGUAGCGUGCCUUAAGUUCAUAAAUGUAUAUGGCUCUGAUUAAUGUUACUGUUACGUAGGCCAGGGUUGGGGUACCGCCCCUUCCGGGGAAUGUGUGUAGUUUUCGGGGAGCACAGGAAGGGGAAGUUGAGUUCUGACUAGGUUGAUGACCGGGUGUGUGGAAUGGCGUGGCUGUGGCCGACAACAGGCAACAAUAAACCCGAGUGAUAAGAACCUGGCUCUUUAUUGACACGAAACGUUACAAUAUGUAUAUUGAGACAACACACCCUGAGAGGGUGAGAUGCCUUUUCGCUUAGUGUUGUCUCAAUGGGGCAUUUAUUUCAUUGACUGACAUGGGGUUUAGUGUGGUUGUUCUUGAGAUUGUUGGUUACCUUUUAAAGCCCCUUAGCUUGCCCAGCACAAGUAAGCAUUGGUCCAUUCCAUACCUCAUGAAGCUGACAGGUGCACACCGGUCUAAUUUUGUCCUUGGAGACAUUCGCAAGGCCCCGCAUGCGAUUUAUCAGCAGGUCACCGACGAGGCUCCACAGAGACUGAUGAAGUGGUAUCAGAUGGCGGCCUGUGAGGAGUUAUGAGCGUGCUCGUCAAUAAAGUCCUUCACGGGCUACGCCACAGCAUGUAGUGGAAGCAGAGCGGUGACCGUUAACUGCCAUAACUGACCAUGAAUGCCGGUGUCAAGAUGGAGGGAGCCCCUACCCCCUUCAAGACAAAUGCAGAUGGUUGGAGAUUUAUAGGGAAUUGGGUUGUGAUAUUUGAACCACUUGUCAAAAAGAUUGGAUGCAAUGACAAGAAAAUGUGGGCUCCAUAUUUUCUUGCAAGGGACAGCAGCAAUUUUGUUUGCAUAGCAUGAUAGUGGCAAAAAAUGAUAAAAUGUUGUGUCACGGCUCUGUGGAACAAACACUCUUUGAAAUGAUGGUACAUGUUUGAACUGAUGGAACAGAGAACGAGACACUUCAAUUGGUUUGCAUCCAAAGAUGCACUAAGAAAACAUGGUGAGAGAGUGAUAACUUCAGCAUCAUUUUACAUGUGGCUCUAAGACAUUUCAAAAUUUAGCAGAUUUAUGAAGUCGCACAUCCUUGAUUGACAUGAGGCAUCGACUGUGAGAGUUGCCCCUGGUUGCUGACCACUUUAAUUACCCGCACCCAAAUGAUGGUAAAUCAAUAGUGUAAUGCAAGGUGAGAAAAAUCAAUUUGUUCUCAAUUACGCUGUAAUCAGCACUAUCAAAGCUUCUCCUCUCCUUCUCAUACAGUUUGAGCACCAGAGAGAAUUGGAUUAUAGUAAUUAAAUAAUCUGGUCAAAUAGCUCAUAUUUGGGCUGCUAAAGUCUUUGACAAACAUGUUUUUAAGAAGAAAAUGUUGUAUAAAUAAGGCUGUGAAUAAUAUUUGAACAAACCCCUUUGGAAUGUGCCCAUCUGUGCUACGGAAGUUGAGAUUUCUGGCUCAGACUGAGGAAUAAAUAAUUUGGAAUGGACGGUAUCUAAAGAUAGUACAUUCAUUUGGCUAGACACUGAAAUAAAAUGAGAUCAAAAUAUUUACAGAUAUCUGCAUGAAAACUUUACUUUAGUUGAUGGCCGACAGUAAGGCAAUUCGUUUUUGUAUUACAAAUGAUUCUGAAUAUGCAUGAAUAUGCAAUUGGUGUAUCAUCUAAUUCAGACAGUUUACUGUACUUUUUCAGAAUUUAAGAGAAAUAUGCAGAUGGACAGUAAAAUAAUUACUUUGUGUAUUUUGGAGGCAAAAUAGCCCAAAAAAAUGUUUUCUUUGUUGUGAAGAGGCUGGAAUCAGAUUUAGCCAGUUCUUAAUCAAAGACUUUAUGUGUAUCAGACUCAGGGGACUGAACCUUAGAAGAGAUGGAUACUCAGAGGCUACUAAAUAAAAGAAAAUAAAGCCUGAUAAAUCAGGAUUAUCCCCUUAAUCUGGUAUGUACUGGCCAGGGAGAGCCGUAUCCUCUCAUCUGAAAAAACUUGCAAACACGUGCACACAAAGACACACACACAAAAACCGUGCUGCACUGCCACCUAGCAGCCAAAUCAAAAACACUCUGAGCCAACGCAUUUUUUUAAGUCAAAGGAAGCAGCGCUUUUUCGGAAGAAUGUCAACAGCUUUUCUUAUGAAAUGCAAAACCUUCCUUGUCAUUAUUGAAGAUUAUUACAACAAAGCUCUCUCUGUGGGUCUGAAUCUUUUUGCAGUUCACUGCAUCUGACUCUUACUGGUUUUGUGUUCGUGUCUGUGUGUGUGUGUAUUUCCCCCACGGCGAUUACACAGUUAUGCUAAUUAAGUAAGAUGAACAGAUCAAGUGGGCCACUGACGUGACGCCCGCUCUGUGCAAGCACCGCUGUGACUCACCAAGUCACGGUGCGUGACCAAAGGUAGUUGGAGGGUUACGUUACGGGGGGCUGGUUGCUUCUGCUUCACCCCGCCCUGCCAGAGGACAGCAUUGCUACCUUUUCCAGUGUAUCAGUGAUUACUCCCAGGCGAAACAGUCGAUACCACAUGUUUGGACACAUAAUCAUUGUUGUCAUCCGUCAGAUACAGCAGAUUAGACCUCACUUGGUUUACAGAUGACGGAGAUUGGUUCCAGGCAAAGUUGUGGUAUGUGUUUCGCCACAGGUGAGCGGCAGGGUGGAGGCAUAGAGGCCCCGUCAGAUGAUGCUUCCUGUGGACAUCCCGAUACCCCACUGGAUUAAAAAGCUUUACUAUAGGGUUGUAGGGAAAAAAAGCAGGAUGCCGCUACAUAACCUGUUGAGACAUAGUCAAGCAGAGACCAUUAUGGACCUAGGACCCUUUAAUGCAUUCAUUCUGACUGAGUGAACUAGCUAUUCCAAGCCACCUGAUAAGUUGUCAACAAGCUGGAGAACAGAGGGGAGCAUGUAGCAGUGAAACAGACCCAGCAGUUGGUUGAGACCAAACAAAAGCUCAAAGGUUGAUAAAUAUAUUGUUUGUUAUGUGCCGUAACAAAAACAUCACCUCAAAUGAUUUCCAAUGUUACUGCGAAUGCAAAUGUUAAAUCAGGUUUACAUUAUCAACCUUUUUUAGAUGAUACUAUGACCAUUGUUGUGUUCGUUUGGCUGCAGCAAAAACCAAAGAAAAUCAUGCAGCUUUAAGGCUGCAUUCAAAUACUGGACUUGUAUUUCCAUCAUCUUUUUAGAAAAGGUAAAUGAAUGAGCACAAAUCAAAAAUGGCCAGAGGCAAAUGUUUUGCAGCUUUAUUAUUGUAGCAGGUCCCUCUUGUACAUCAACCUUUCAACAAAUGGUGUGUUUGUGCGUACACGACCAAUUCUCCGGCUGUGUCCGUGGUGCUGAUCAAAGGUUUGCCUUGCUUGCAUGGUAAAAAAUAAAUGAUCAGCAUUGCAAUUGUCUGGAGUGAUUGUGCGUGUGCGGGCAGAAGCGUCUCGUCAUUAUGAGGGCGAGGGCUCAGCAAAAAGGUCUUAAAAACCUUCUCACCCUGAUUGUCGGAGGAUGGUAUGUUUUUUUUAAACUUCAGUGCCUUUGGGUUGCGGAGUGAACAUGGAUACCCACAAGGUGUUUAUUUUAAUGACACGUUACAAAAUGAUUCAUAAUCUAAUUUUUUAAAUUUCUUAUCCGUUCACUCAUUCAUUGGUGCAGCAAUAGUCCUGAUCAAGCUGAUUUGCAGAAUGAUUAAGUCUAGGGCAACUUACCUUUUGGUAACACGCAUGAGGAUAAAGAUUGUGGUAAUGGGUUUUGGUGACACGCAAAUAUUAGCUGUUAUUUUACAGAAUGAUUUCUUAUCAAUGGAACGUCCCAAGGCAGAACAAAACAAACACACCAACAUGCUCAUCAAGCUGAAGUGGGAGAACGAUGUGUGGUGGGGGGGCACAAACAUGCAGCUGCUGUUGAUUGGAAAUAUUCUACAAUAUCUUACAGCUAAAUUAGCUAUGCAAUAAAAAAAACAAUCUGUGCAUGUUAACAUGAGUGUAUAUAAGUGUUUUGCUGACAUUUAUUUAGCUGCUGUUGUUUUUAUAGACUGUAUUGAUUGAUUUCCCCUGACUUACGAUUGCAAUAUUACUUUUAGAUAAAAGUACAUACCUAUUUUAAUUUAAAAUGACCAUAAAUGGGCCAAAGGAUUCAUGUAAUAAUUCAUUUUGAACUAAUUAUUUUACCAUAUUUUCUGUUUUGUAUGUAAAUGACUUGCCAAUUUCACAAACCCUCUUUUAAUGGAUGUUAUCGAUUAGUGGAUAGAGGCUUCAUAGGUGAGUUGUCUUGUUUAGGUACCUGCUGUUAUUAUAUCCAAGAAUUAUUCAUCAAUCAAAUCACAAGAAUGUCAGCUUUCCUAAGACAUCUAGACUAGUGUGCAAACGCCCUAUGGACAGCCGACGAUACCUGCUUCUUAUGAACUAUCGAUACAAGUGUUUUUUUGAAGCCUUGUGUUUAGCAUUACGGCAGUCUUGUCUUUUUGAGACCAGACAUGACAGGAGAGGACAGAGGUGGUUGCAAGUGAAUAGGCGUCCAAAAUUACUGCGCGUGUUACUAAUGCAAAACAGACCAAAGCUAUUUUGUGCCAAAAAAGAUUCGUACAUAGACGUCCUGUCUUGACAUCUUAUCAUCGUCACUUCUAGAGCUGUAUUUCCUUGGUUCAAUUGCUCUACUAAUCAGCUGAGUAUACAGAACAUAAAAUAAAAUAUAUUUUAAAAAUACCACUUUUAUUCAGCUAUCUAAAUCUAAUUGUAAACUGACAUUACAUCCAAAACAAUGGAUUCCCUUUCUGCUGCUUGAUACAGCUGCUUUGAAAACACCUUUCAGAUUGGGGAAGAGCCCACUGACCAGGAGGUCAUCUUGAAACCAGCAGAGAGGUUAAUGAAAUGUGAACUCACAGUUGGUUCUGAGCGCAGUCAGGCCUGCUGGUGCUUUUUAGACAGAGCUCACUUCGUGAAGGUCCUGGUCUGCUUUCAGGUGCAUCUCCCAGCUCCUGGUGGCAGGUAAUUGCUGUCGUGUUGAGAGCUGAAGCCUGGCAUGGGUUUGACAUUACGUCAAAACCUGUGCAUGCGUGAAUGUCAGUAAGUGUGUGUUCUUGUGUGAGAAAGGGUUUAGGUUGAAAACGCUGACAGAAACCUCAAAGUUGUUGAGGGUUUCUGCUGGUAAUGUGAUGCUGGAAUAGCCUUCAUUAGAUUUUCGGGGCACAUCUGUGAAUAGAUCAAACGGGUCAGGUGCAUCAUUUUAGCCCCUCCAUUUGAUCCAUUCCUUCUUACCUGUCCAAGCUGGAACGGGCAAUGUUGACACGUGGCCGCUUUCCCCUGUACUGCGUCUGCGUGGUAAAGAAAAAACGUAAUUUGCGUGGCCUACUCUAAGCAUUUAAUCAACCAAUAAGUGUGAGCGGUAUUUAAAAGUGAAAGAGGAAUUAUACUGUACUAUGUGUAGCUGCUACUAUUAUACGAGAUGCCAUAUGUUCAUUGACAUGAUCCUCCUGAGUAAUUAGGGAUCCAAUCAAAUUAUACUUCUUUCUGAAAGCAAACUCCAAAUCUAACAGCUCUAACAACCUUAUGAACAAUGAGGGCACAAAUACACUGGUAACAUGAGGCAUAAUACAAAAUAGUUUUAAUGCGUGAAUAUAACAAAAUUAUUAAGCUUAAAACUGCCACCCUGAGACUGUAAUUAUCCCAGCACAAAGAAACCGCUGCCCUCACACACAGUCUUCAACGUAUCCCAGUAGAAAAAGUGAUUGAGUAUUUGUCAAAAAUGUCAAACUACUCUGUUAACUAUAACAAUGCACAUGUUUAUUAUGAAAAUGGCACCUUUAUUCCAAUUGUCACACGUGAAAAGUGACCUUUGUAUUGAAGUCAUUCUAACCAUACAGGGAAGUGAACUAGGGUCAAGUGCCCGGGGAGCAAAUCGAAAUUCAAUGUGUCACUCAAAGAAGUUUGAACUUGCGGAGACAACAAAGUUGGGAAUCAAACCACCAACCUUGUGUUUUAAACCCACAUGCUAUUAAAAAAAGGUGCAUGUUUUAUCUAUUGUCUUUACAGCUUGUCUACCUUCUUUUUUUCCUCCCUAGAUUUCCCACACAGUCUUUAAUGCUCCGCGUUGCUGCCUAUCUACAUAUAGGCUGGAGUAUGAUUGAGUCAUGUUCUCUCCUCUGCAUCACUCCCUCACACAUACACACACACAAAGACUCAUUUGUGAUGUUUCGAUCCUCCAUUCACCUUACAUAGCAAUUGGACUUCAGAUCCUACAUGUCUCAUGUGCUAAAUAAACCAGCAGGGCUCCUGGCACAUCGGCCACGAACCACCCUCGCUGCUUCUCUAGAGAGAGGACUUAAGAGCCGGCAGAGGGUUUCUCUGAAGCCCCCGGGUUGGCUUCGAUCGCGGAAAGCUGAUUUUCGACACAGCUAUAAUCAUCCGUGGAGCCUGUGCGUUGCUGUUAGCCCUUAUAGGAGACCAUCCCACCGCUCCUUGAGAGUGAAAGCCUGGUGAUUGGAGUGUGGCUACUGUGAAGAAGAUGGACUGACGUUCGGGCUGUUGAGGUAAUCACCGGCACUCAUGCACCUGGGCUUGAAAUCCAUUGAAUCAAGGCUUUGCUUCCUGUAAUUAUCCGUCUUGAUCUGUAAUCUUCAAAAAGUACUCUUAUCUUUAUGUGAGUGGAACACUGAGGCCGUGUUGGUAUGAAAAUAGAAUGAUUGAUACUUGAGCAAAGAGCAGACUGCUUUUCAUGCACAUUGGGAAUGCAAUGUAUUUUUCAGUAUGCACAACCUCUGAUGUGCACACUGGACUCUUCCUGAGGUGAGAGGGACGGGUGUGUGUGCUGCUUUUCUAAAAUCAAUCGGCGAUUGAUGAAUUAACAUUCUCAUUCAGACAGUCAGAAGGCAUUUGCAGGCAAUUAAAGACCUAAAAUAUAUGUACAUGUACGUAUACUACACACAUACAGUAAAAGUGUUUCCCCCCUUCCUGAUUUCUUAUUUUUUUUGCAUUUUUGUCACACUUAAAUGUUUCAGAUCAUCAAACUAAUUUAAAUAUUAGACAAAGAUAACACAAGUAAACACACAAUGCAGUUUUUAAAUGAAGGUUUUUGUUAUUAAAGGGAGAAAAAAAUCCAAACCUUCAUGGCCCUGUGUGAAAAAGUGAUUGCCCUCUAAACCUAAUAACUGGUUGGGCCACCCUUAGCAGCAACAACUGCAAUCAAGCGUUUGCGAUAACUGGCAAUGAGUCUUUUACAGCGCUGUGGAGAAAUUUUGGCCCACUCAUCUUUGCAGAAUUGUUGUAAUUCAGCCACAUUGGAGGGUUUACGAGCAUGAACCGCCUUUUUAAGGUCAUUCCACGGCAUCUCAAUCAGAUUCAGGUCGGGACUUUGACUGAAUUUUCCUGACCACAUGGCAGAGAUGCUCGCCGAGGGCCUCAAAGAGUGCUGGCAGCUCUUAACCUGGAGUAAGGAAGUCUUGAGGUGUAGCUGGUUAGCAUAGUAAAUAUAGAAUAUGUUAAAAUAAUUUAAAAAAUACACCAAAGCACCAAUAAUUACUCUGCAAUACUAAUUUGAGUAGGUAAUUUAUCCUGGCCAGUCACUUAAAGUCACUUCUCAAAGCUUGUUUGCAAUCUCAAAUAGAUGCUGUGCAAGUGUUGAAAUGGGGAUGGGGGCAUUGAGAUAUGACUUCUCCUGUUACAUUGAUCCCCUUAUUUAUUUGUACAGUCUCAGACUGUCGGUCUGAUUUUUCCAGCCUAAUUUGGAAGGCAGUGCUAGGUUGAUUCAUUAGCUUGACUCACAGUUGGCAACAGACAGUAAAUUGGACUCAAGAGACAAGAUUAAUUCUUGAUUGGCUACGCAAUCCUGUCACUCUAUCAAGUAGGCAGCCCUCUGCCUGUCAAUACUAUUACCAUCAGUUUCUUACAGGAGACUUCCCCCCCACCUCUUGACUAUCCUCUAUAUCAGCCACAUCAACUCAUAACCUCUGUAUGUUUGCCAGGUAUGUCGUGUUCGUAGCUAAAGUUAGUCUGCUGCAGGGUGUGCAACUGUUAUGAUGCCACGAGGUACUCUUAAGAAGACGCUAACCUCUAUGUUCGCCAGGAUGUCUAACGUCACAAAAUAAACGGUCGAUUGGAGCCGAAUGUCGUACGUGUCCUGGUGGUGAUUUUAAAAACACAACGCAAGAGAGAGAGUACAACCGUUCCCUUUUCAUGAUGCCCAUUGGUGUGAAUUUAAGGAGGAUGCCCCAUGUUUGCGCAGACAUUGAAUGUCCAAAUCAUGCAGAGUAUUGGUUGUUUAUUCUCAAAAUAGUCCAGCCAAGUAUGAAUGUUCAUCUGGGCGCAAUGUUGUAUAUUCCCUAACCUGGUUACUCUGGUUCCUUUCUUAAUGAGCUUGCAUGCUCUCGUUUCCAACACGCCACCACCGUCAGGCAGCUAAUGGCAAACCAUGUAAGCUCUUGUGCUUUCCCGUAGGAGCUCCACUGACGAAACUAGAGAGCGGUGGAUGUGAAGGCAUUAGUCCGACGCAAACACUCAGAGCAAUUGAUGAAACCUCACUACCAUCCCUGCUUUGCCUGUGAUGUGUGGGGAUGAUUCACACUUCCCAAGCUCUGCUCCCCUCUCCUCCACUUGAUAUCACAUAUUGGCAAGUGUGUUGGCGCCUUUCAUCCAUGCUGCAGUUUUGCUUCCUGGCACUGCUUAUUGACUCCCAGCAUAUGACGGAGCUCUUCUAAACUCCGCUGAGUGCUCGCCAGGCGUUUGGACCGGAGCCUAAAGCGGCAGCACGCGGCUUCCAGUCCCCCUCGGGCUCCGUGUGUGUUUGAUACGCUGUGUUUGGCGCCUCGCAGUCGACCGUGCGCUCACUGAGCCAUGCCAUGGGAACAGGACUGCCCUUCCUGUGUUCUGACAAUGCCUUCCUUGGGCCCGGUAAACAAGUCUGCUUGUUAGUGUAGCUAUUGUAAGCUUUGUGAAGGAGAUGUAGGGAACAGAAAUAAUGUGCUCCCACCUCCUUCAUCCCGCAGGCGAGUCGUUUCAGAAGGUGUUCACAGCGUCUCCAGUGUGCUCUAAUUCAUGAAAAUCUUUUUCUCUGUGGAAAAAGUUUAUCAUUCCAACUUUUGCAGAGCAAGUGUCUUUACCUUUUUUCUAUCACAAGUAUUCCUUCAUGACCAAAGGGAAUGCACCUAGUUAGCUAAGAGCAACAUGGAAAUAUCCUGCUACUGCUUUUAAGACAGGGUGAGCUUUCGUCUGCGCCCCAAUUAAAAGUGAACAUGAAUA